Amphimedon queenslandica is the source of this 169-nucleotide long non-coding RNA. RefSeq lists it as uncharacterized. NCBI's taxonomy places the organism in Eukaryota, Metazoa, Porifera, Demospongiae, Haplosclerida, Niphatidae. The transcript is spliced from 2 exons. The record is from RefSeq and is a predicted model, not a curated record.
GGGCAAUCGGCCUUAUCUGCAUAAUAUUGAUUUUUGUUCUAGCGAUUGUUGGAGUAGUUGCUGGAUUGUUGGGAUGUCAUUUUCAUAAAAAUUGCCCACUCUAACUGUUAUAAUUGUUGAGUUUAUAUAUAUUUUAAAAACUGUUGUCAUUGUCCUCUGUAUAUAACAA